GAAAUCAGUCCUCUUCAAAAAGAAAGACGUGCGAAAUGUGUAUAUAAUCAUCACAUUUUUCGGAAGGGUUAUGCGAAUCUUGCCCAAGAAUUAAACCUCGAAUGAUCCUUCUUAUCAGGCGACUUUAUGGAAAGAAGCUAGAAAAGGAAAAAAUAAUGAAUAAUUUGAUGAAGCUACUCGAGAAUAUGCCAAUCAGAUUGAUAAAUGGGUUGAAGUCUAUGAAGAUGAAGAUGUUCCGACCAAAGCAUUGGGUACAGGGGAACAUUGGGGACGUGUUAGAGGAAUGGGUGCUUUUGUUUCCUAUUCCCAAUAUUUCAAAUUAGUAAAACCAAAGUCCUCAAUGAGCCAAGAAAUUGAAGGAGGCUCUAGUGAAAAAAAUGUUCGACAUGGUAAAGUGCCAAGAGAAAGACCUCACGACAGACAAUCUCAUCAGUCCAAAUCAUCUGUUGGAAGUGUUGCACUAAGUGCAUCUGAAGAAGAAGAUACUGAGAAGAUACCUAAAGAAGAU
Long non-coding RNA from Benincasa hispida (wax gourd), 508 nucleotides. RefSeq lists it as uncharacterized. The record is from RefSeq and is a predicted model, not a curated record. Lineage: Eukaryota; Viridiplantae; Streptophyta; Magnoliopsida; Cucurbitales; Cucurbitaceae.